This 471-nucleotide ribosomal RNA is filed under the name uncultured bacterium. RNAcentral's name for it is "bacterial SSU rRNA". It matches the Rfam family "Bacterial small subunit ribosomal RNA", at positions 329 to 793 of the family's 1533-position model. The record is from RNAcentral.
CUACGCACUCCUACGGGAGGCAGCAGUGGGGAAUAUUGCACAAUGGGCACAAGCCUGAUGCAGCCAUGCCGCGUGUAUGAAGAAGGCCUUCGGGUUGUAAAGUACUUUCAGCAGUGAGGAAGGUGGAUAUGUUAAUAGCAUAUUCAUUUGACGUUAGCUGCAGAAGAAGCACCGGCUAACUCCGUGCCAGCAGCCGCGGUAAUACGGAGGGUGCGAGCGUUAAUCGGAAUUACUGGGCGUAAAGCGCAUGCAGGUGGUUUGUUAAGUCAGAUGUGAAAGCCCGGGGCUCAACCUCGGAAUUGCAUUUGAAACUGGCAAACUAGAGUACUGUAGAGGGGGUAGAAUUUCAGGUGUAGCGGUGAAAUGCGUAGAGAUCUGAAGGAAUACCGGUGGCGAAGGCGGCCCCCUGGACAGAUACUGACACUCAGAUGCGAAAGCGUGGGGAGCAAACAGGAUUAGAUACCCUGGUAG